UAGGGAAUCUUCCGCAAUGGACGCAAGCCUGACGGAGCAACGCCGCGUGAGUGAUGAAGGUCUUCGGAUCGUAAAACUCUGUUAUUAGGGAAGAACAAAUGUGUAAGUAACUAUGCACGUCUUGACGGUACCUAAUCAGAAAGCCACGGCUAACUACGUGCCAGCAGCCGCGGUAAUACGUAGGUGGCAAGCGUUAUCCGGAAUUAUUGGGCGUAAAGCGCGCGUAGGCGGUUUUUUAAGUCUGAUGUGAAAGCCCACGGCUCAACCGUGGAGGGUCAUUGGAAACUGGUUGACUUGAGUGCAGAAGAGGAGAGUGGAAUUCCAUGUGUAGCGGUGAAAUGCGUAGAUAUAUGGAGGAACACCGGUGGCGAAAGCGGCUCUCUGGUCUGUAACUGACGCUGAGGCUCGAAAGCGUGGGGAGCGAACAGG
Molecule: ribosomal RNA, 429 nt
Filed under: Bacteroidota bacterium
Lineage: Bacteria; Pseudomonadati; Bacteroidota
Description: Bacteroidetes bacterium partial 16S ribosomal RNA
Rfam family: Bacterial small subunit ribosomal RNA
Source: RNAcentral